This 253-nucleotide ribosomal RNA is filed under the name uncultured bacterium. RNAcentral's name for it is "partial 16S ribosomal RNA". It matches the Rfam family "Bacterial small subunit ribosomal RNA", at positions 524 to 776 of the family's 1533-position model. The record is from RNAcentral.
UACAGAGGGUGCAAGCGUUGUUCGGAAUUAUUGGGCGUAAAGAGCGCGCAGGCGGUCGUUCAAGUCGCGUGUGAAAGCCCCCGGCUCAACUGGGGAGGGUCACGCGAUACUGAUCGACUCGAAGGCAGGAGAGGGAAGUGGAAUUCCCGGUGUAGUGGUGAAAUGCGUAGAUAUCGGGAGGAACACCAGUGGCGAAGGCGACUUCCUGGCCUGUUCUUGACGCUGAGGCGCGAAAGCUAGGGGAGCAAACGGG